UGGGGGAAUAUUGGACAAUGGGCGCAAGCCUGAUCCAGCAAUGCCGCGUGUGUGAAGAAGGCCCUCGGGUUGUAAAGCACUUUUAUCAGGAGCGAAAUCUGCAAGGCUAAUACCCUUGUAGUCUGACGGUACCUGAGGAAUAAGCACCGGCUAACUCCGUGCCAGCAGCCGCGGUAAUACGGAGGGUGCAAGCGUUAAUCGGAAUUACUGGGCGUAAAGCGUGUGUAGGCGGUUUGUUAAGUCUGUUGUGAAAGCCCCGGGCUCAACCUGGGAAUGGCAAUGGAUACUGGCAAGCUAGAGUGUGAUAGAGGAUGGUGGAAUUCCCGGUGUAGCGGUGAAAUGCGUAGAGAUCGGGAGGAACAUCAGUGGCGAAGGCGGCCAUCUGGAUCAACACUGACGCUGAGACACGAAAGCGUGGGGAGCAAAACAGGAUUAGAUACCCUGGUAGUCCACGCCCUAAAACGAUGCGAACUGGAUGUUGGUCUCAACUCGGAGAUCAGUGUCGAAGCUAACGCGUUAAGUUUCGCCGCCUGGGGAGUACGGUCGCAAGACUGAAACUC
Molecule: ribosomal RNA, 560 nt
Filed under: uncultured bacterium
Lineage: Bacteria
Description: partial 16S ribosomal RNA
Rfam family: Bacterial small subunit ribosomal RNA
Source: RNAcentral